AAGUCGUAACAAGGUUUCCGUAGGUGAACCUGCGGAAGGAUCAUUAUUGAAAACAAGGGUGUCCAAUUUAACUUGGAACCCAAACUUCUCAAUUCUAACUUUGUGCAUCUGUAUUAAUGGCGAGCAGCUUCGGUUGUGAGCCUUCACUUACAAAACACUAGUCUAUGAAUGUAAAAUUUUUAUAACAAAUAAAAACUUUCAACAACGGAUCUCUUGGCUCUC
RNAcentral lists this unclassified non-coding RNA (222 nucleotides) under Sporobolomyces patagonicus. RNAcentral describes it as "partial internal transcribed spacer region". The stretch from base 1 to 46 matches the Rfam family "Eukaryotic small subunit ribosomal RNA", at positions 1786 to 1831 of the family's 1831-position model. Lineage: Eukaryota; Fungi; Basidiomycota; Microbotryomycetes; Sporidiobolales; Sporidiobolaceae. The record is from RNAcentral.